RNAcentral lists this ribosomal RNA (413 nucleotides) under uncultured bacterium. RNAcentral describes it as "bacterial SSU rRNA". It matches the Rfam family "Bacterial small subunit ribosomal RNA", at positions 29 to 436 of the family's 1533-position model. The record is from RNAcentral.
AACGAACGCUGGCGGCGUGGAUUAGGCAUGCAAGUCGAGCGAGAAAGGGGCCUUCGGGCCCUGAGUAAAGCGGCGAACUGGUGAGUAACAGGUGGGUAACGUGCCCUAAAGUUGGGGAUAACUCCGAGAAAUCGGUGCUAAUACCGAAUGUGGCUGUUUGAGUUUCGGCUCGAGCAGUUAAAGGCUUCGGUCGCUUUGGGAUCGGCCCGCCCUCGAUUAGCUAGUUGGUGAGGUAACGGCUCACCAAGGCUUCGAUCGAUAGCUGGUCUGAGAGGAUGGUCAGCCACACUGGAACUGAGAUACGGUCCAGACUCCUACGGGGGGCAGCAGUCUAGAGGCUUCGGCAAGUGGGGGCAACCCUGACCGAGCGACGCCGCGUGUGGGAUGAAGGUCGUUUUCGUUGUAACCACUGU